This 990-nucleotide small RNA is filed under the name uncultured Solirubrobacterales bacterium. RNAcentral's name for it is "bacterial SSU rRNA". The stretch from base 1 to 490 matches the Rfam family "Bacterial small subunit ribosomal RNA", at positions 1045 to 1533 of the family's 1533-position model. The record is from RNAcentral. Lineage: Bacteria; Bacillati; Actinomycetota; Thermoleophilia; Solirubrobacterales.
AUGGCUGUCGUCAGCUCGUGUCGUGAGAUGUUGGGUUAAGUCCCGCAACGAGCGCAACCCCCGUCGUAUGUUGCCAGCAUUUAGUUGGGGACUCAUGCGAGACUGCCGGUGACAAACCGGAGGAAGGUGGGGAUGACGUCAAGUCAUCAUGCCCCUUAUGUCCAGGGCUACACACGUGCUACAUUGGCGCGUACAGAGGGCUGCGAUACCGCGAGGUGGAGCGAAUCCCUUAAAGCGCGUCUCGGUUCGGAUUGCAGGCUGAAACUCGCCUGCAUGAAGGCGGAGUUGCUAGUAAUCGCGGAUCAGCACUGCCGCGGUGAAUACGUUCCCGGGCCUUGUACACACCGCCCGUCACACCAUGGGAGUGAGCAACACCCGAAGCCGGUGGCCUAACCCGCAAGGGAGGGAGCCGUCGAAGGUGGGGCUCGUGACUGGGGUGAAGUCGUAACAAGGUAGCCGUAGCGGAAGCUGCGGCUGGAUCACCUCCUUUCUAGGGAGCCCUCUACGGAGGGCGACCGAUCGCCGGCCAUGAGCAAGAGCUCGUGGCUUACUGCUCACCGGAGUCCGUUUCGGGCCCCGGCAUCACACAACCAGUAGCGAUCGGGACUAGAUAUGUCGACCGGACCUGGAAACGCCGUCUGCUGAGCCCAGCGCUCUGUCCCAGGCGGCUGCAUGCUGUUGAGUUUUGAGAGACCGGCUCGAUGCCGGUGGCUCGAGGACAAGUUCCCGGGCCGCUGAGCAAAGAGUUGUUGCCUCUUAGCGGACCUUGAAAACUGCACAGUUAGCCAAUGUAAACGGGUAUCGGGUGAGCGUUUAUCGCGCUCACCUGAGGAAAUUCAAUUUCUUCGAAAUGAUCACCGUCAAGAUAGUAAGGGCACAUGGUGGAUGCCUUGGCACCAAGAGUCGAUGAAGGGCGUGAACGGCUGCGAUAAGCCGCGGUGAGGCGCUGAAUAGCCAGUGACCCGCGGAUGCCCGAAUGGGGAAACCCGG